Molecule: ribosomal RNA, 443 nt
Filed under: uncultured bacterium
Lineage: Bacteria
Description: partial 16S ribosomal RNA
Rfam family: Bacterial small subunit ribosomal RNA
Source: RNAcentral
CCUACGGGGGGCUGCAGUGGGGAAUAUUGCACAAUGGGCGAAAGCCUGAUGCAGCAACGCCGCGUGAAGGAAGACGGGUUUCUGCUCUUAAACUUCUAUCAACAGGGACGUAAGUAAUGACGGUACCUUAAUAAGAAGCCCCGGCUAACUACGGGCCAGCAGCCACGGUAAUACGUAGGCGGCAAGCGUUAUCCGGAAUUACUGGGUGUAAAGGGUGAGUAGGCGGCAUGGUAAGCUAGAUGUGAAAGCCUUGGGCUUAACCCGAGGAUUGCAUUUGGAACUAUCAAGCUAGAGUACAGGAGAGGAAAGCGGAAUUGCUAGUGUAGCGGUGAAAUGCGUAGAUAUUAGAAAGAACACCAGUGGCGAAGGCGGCUUUCUGGACUGAAACUGACGCUGAGGCACGAAAGCGUGGGGAGCGAACAGGAUUAGAUACCCCAGUAGUC